RNAcentral lists this ribosomal RNA (515 nucleotides) under uncultured bacterium. RNAcentral describes it as "bacterial SSU rRNA". It matches the Rfam family "Bacterial small subunit ribosomal RNA", at positions 18 to 518 of the family's 1533-position model. The record is from RNAcentral.
CCUGGCUCAGGAUGAACGCUAGCUACAGGCUUAACACAUGCAAGUCGCGGGGGCAUCAUGAAGGGAGCUUGCUCUCUUUGAUGGCGACCGGCGCACGGGUGAGUAACGCGUAUCCAACCUGCCCCCUAGUAGGGAACAGCCCGUAGAAAUGCGGAUUAAUGCCCUAUGUUCUCCGAAGACGGCAUCAGAUUCGGAGCAAAGGCCUUUUGGUUGCUAGGGGAUGGGGAUGCGUCUGAUUAGGCAGCAGGCGGGUAACGGCCCACCUGGCCUUCGAUCAGUAGGGGUUCUGAGAGGAAGGUCCCCCACACUGGUACUGAGACACGGACCAGACUCCUACGGGAGGCAGCAGUGAGGAAUAUUGGUCAAUGGCCGAGAGGCUGAACCAGCCAAGUAGCGUGCAGGAUGACGGCCCUACGGGUUGUAAACUGCUUUUAUGCGGGGAUAACAUGGCCCACGUGUGGGCCCUUGCAGGUACCGCAUGAAUAAGGACCGGCUAAUUCCGUGCCAGCCGCCGC